UGGUCAAGUUAUUAAGGGUGCAGGGCGGAUGCCUUGGCACUAGGAGCCGAUGAAGGACGUGAUAAGCUGCGAUAAGCUUCGGGGAGUUGCACGUAAACUUUGAUCCGAAGAUUUCCGAAUGAGGAAACUCACUUAGAGUAAUGUCUAAGUAUCAUUAAGUGAAUACAUAGCUUAAUGAGGGGAACUCAGGGAACUGAAACAGCUAAGUACCUGAAGGAAGAGAAAGAAAUUCGAUUCCGUAAGUAGCGGCGAGCGAACGCGGAUUAGCCAAAACCAAUAAAGUUUUCUUUAUUGGGGUUGCGGACAUAUCAUAACGAAGAGGUAUCGUA
This 329-nucleotide ribosomal RNA is filed under the name Clostridioides difficile. RNAcentral describes it as "bacterial LSU rRNA". It matches the Rfam family "Bacterial large subunit ribosomal RNA", at positions 1 to 331 of the family's 2925-position model. The record is from RNAcentral. Lineage: Bacteria; Bacillati; Bacillota; Clostridia; Peptostreptococcales; Peptostreptococcaceae.